RNAcentral lists this transfer RNA (68 nucleotides) under Neotoma lepida (desert woodrat). It matches the Rfam family "tRNA". From Rfam's summary of the family: Transfer RNA (tRNA) molecules are approximately 80 nucleotides in length. Their secondary structure includes four short double-helical elements and three loops (D, anti-codon, and T loops). The record is from Rfam by way of RNAcentral. Lineage: Eukaryota; Metazoa; Chordata; Mammalia; Rodentia; Cricetidae.
AUUGGUUUGGCAGUGAAAAGCACUUGUUUCUUGUGCAGAUGACCUGGGUUCAAUUCCCAGGACCUAUA